UUUACCGACAAUGUCUAAGAUCGCCUGUCUUUACCGACAAUGUCUAGGAUCGCCUGUCUUUACCGACAAUGUCUAAGAUCGCCUGUCUUUACCGACAAUGUCUAAGAUCGCCUGUCUUUACCGAAAAUGUCUAGGAUCGCCUGUCUUUACCGACAAUGUCUAAGAUCGCCUGUCUCUACCGACAAUGUCUAGGAUCGCCUGUCUUUACCGACAAUGUCUAAGAUCUCCUGUCUUUACCGACAAUGUCUAAGAUCGCCUGUCUUUACCGACAAUGUCUAGGAUCGCCUGUCUUUACCGACAAUGUCUAGGAUCGCCUGUCUUUACCGACAAUGUCUAAGAUCGCCUGUCUUUACCGACAAUGUCUAGGAUCGCCUGUCUUUAUCGACAAUGUCUAGGAUCGGCUGUCUUUACCGACAAUGUCUAGGGUUGCCUGUCUUUACCAACAAUGUCUAGGAUCGCCUGUCUUUACCGACAAUGUCUAGGAUCGCCUGUCUUUACCGACAAUGUCUAGGAUCGCCUGUCUUUACCGACAAUGUCUAGGAUCGCCUGUCUUUACAUGUUGUUGCUUGUUUGAUACAAUUUCGGACAUCAUAUGAUGAGAUUUUAUUUGCCAAAACUGCCCGAAGCGUCCUACUUUCAGUGAGUGUGUCAAAGAUCAACUGCGCUUACUGAUCUACUGGUCCACAGGUCUAAAUUCACCCAGAAAAAAUCUCAUCUCACCUGGGAUUCUUACUGGGAUCGCCGAGACUACUGUACUACGUUUGACCAUUGCUUACUGUGAGGAUUUUUCGGACUGCGAACAAAUUCCUAGGAAACAAGUUUUCAUAGUUAAUCAGUCGCAUUGAAUACGUUUCUCUUUCUGGUGCAAACCUGCGUUGAUACAAAUGAGCCACAUUGGGUACACAUAUAUGUAAAAACCAUAUGUCUAGGAGUAUGUUUACAGUAUAUGUAGCUUAGACACCAGAGUCUGUCGCCUCAUUACUGACGGCGCACAGAUAAAAAUGAUAAGAUUUUCAAAUCAAAAUAGAAUUUUCCUCAUUAAGUCCUAAUUGGACUAACUAGUGGAGGCAGGCAACUCGUAGGAAGCAAUUUGUCGGGGUGCCUUCAUUAUUUGUGCCAACCCCUCAUGAAAGAGAGGAGUUAAGCAACUGAUAUUUUCUUUCUUAUUUUUCACAGGAUUUUCAUCCAAAUUGGAUGUUUAAUGAAUGCCCGCUAUGUACAGGCAUAAUGCUGACUACUAUAUCUGUAACAUCCCUUACAGAUAAAGUUUGGGAUGUGAAGGACUGCUCGGUCCCCGGAGAUAUUCGUUAUAUGACGGCUUGGAUUCUUAUCAUUAGUUUGUAAUUGGUCAUUAGUCCCCCCUCCCCCCUCCCCCCUCCUUCUCCCUCACUACUCUCCCCCAGAGUUGAGAUAACGAUCGUACGCUGAACCUCAAACCACACCGUCCUAAUAUAAAAAAAAUAGCCACUCAUUUUCAAAAGACGCACCAUUUUAUGUUGAUGGUGUGAGAAUUCUUUGUGAACGACCGCCUUAAUUAUCGUGAUGUGUGACUCUUUACUGUGCCCGGUAGUAUUUUGCUUUCAUUUUAAAUAACCCACUAGUUAACGCCGAUUUAGAAUUUCGGCUGAAAUAAGUUUCAAAUAAUCCCAGAUGGUGCGAGUGACAGCCAUGGAGGGCCUUAAUUAAACUUCCUGCCUGGAGAGUUCCAAUGAAGCACAAAUUGGGACCUAAUUAUGGCUAUUAGGAGAAAGAGCCUUUUCAGAUGCCUUAAAUUUGUUUAGCAAUGUAUUUAGUUUACUAGCCUUAACCCUGUAACAAACUUGCUUUCUAACUGACUUUGAAAGAUGAAUACACAAGGAGAACGACUCGAUACGCUUACAUUUGUAGUUACCAGCAUGAGAAGUGCGAGGUAAUUCGGCGCGUUUCUAGGUGUCAAAUUAACCCUUAAAGUUAAAUACGUAAACCAAUAUUCAAAUCACUCUAACGAACAUCAGCUGUCAAAAUAAGUUGCACGUGUUAUAAAGAAGUUGCCAGUUAGUUUAUAAGUAGUGUUGUCAUGGCCACAGACAUAUACGAUAUAAUACAUUCGGGUUUUCUAACUGUUUCACACGAGUAACUAUGAGAAGAUCAAGUACUCUAUAGUGAUUACGUCAUCUCCGGACAAAUCCACGUGACGUGCUGGUUAUAGACUUGCUCAUGUUUCAGUAUAUCACGGGAGAUUUGUAUAAGAAGACUAUCGCUAUUGGAGAUUGCUAUAGCCAAUGUCCACGUGAGAAGACUAUCGCUAUUGGAGAUUGCUAUAGCCAAUGUCCACGGCAGUGAGAAGUCUAUCGCUUUUGGAGAUUGCUAUAGCUAAUGUCCACGGCAGUGAAAAGACUAUCGCUAUUGAAGAUUGCUAUAGCUAAUGUCCACGGCAGUGAGAAGACUAUCGCUAUUGGAGAUUGCUAUAGCUAAUGUCCACGGCAUUGAGAAGACUAUCGCUAUUGUAGAGUGAUAUAGCCAAUGUUCACGGCAGUGAGAAGACUAUCGCUAUUGUAGAGUGCUAUAGCUAAUGUCCACGGCAAUGAGAAGACUGUCGCUAUUGGAGAUUGCUAUAGCUAAUGUCCACGGCAGUGAGAAGACUAUCGCUAUUGUAGAGUGAUAUAGCCAAUGUUCACGGCAGUGAGAAGACUAUCGCUAUUGUAGAGUGCUAUAGCUAAUGUCCACGGCAGUGAGAAGACUAUCGCUAUUGUAGAGUGCUAUAGCUAAUGUCCACGGCAGUGAGAAGACUAUCGCUAUUGUAGAGUGAUAUAGCCAAUGUUCACGUGAGAAGACUAUCGCUAUUGUAGAGUGCUAUAGCUAAUGUCCACGGCAGUGAGAAGACUAUCACUGUUGAAGAAUCACGCAAACAAAACCUUUACCCUGCUCUAUAUCAGAACAAGUAGGGAAAUGAAAGAACAUUUAUUCGGGAUUAAGUAGGUUCCAAUGAUCAUAUGAGAAAACCGGAGGUUAACAUGAUAGUCGGCUUUUAUUUAGUUCUCUUCUUAUCAGAAAGGAUAAUACCAUGAUUUAUGAAAACGUGACAAGCACAUAUCAGAAAAGUUCGAGACAUGGUCAUAAACCAGGAGAGGUAUAUUUGUAGCCAACCUCGCCAUCCUAUGGUCAUCAUAAGGUCAUCCUAUGUUCAUCCUAAGGUCAUCCUAAGGUCAUCCUUAGGUCAUCCUACGGUCACCUUAAGGUCAUCCUAAGGUCGUCCUAUGGCCCUCCUAAGGUCAUCCUAUGGUCAUCUUAAGAUCAUCCUAUGGUCAUCCUAUGGUCAUCUUAAGAUCAUCCUAUGGUCAUCCUAAGGUCAUCCUAUGGUCAUCCUAAGAUCAUCCUAUGGUCAUCCUAAGAUCAUCCUAUGGUCAUCUUAAGGUCAUCCUAUGGUCAUCCUAAGAUCAUCCUAUGGUCAUCUUAAGGUCAUCCUAUGGUCAUCCUAAGAUCAUCCUAAGGUCAUCCUAUGGUCAUCCUAUGGUCAUCCUAAGAUCAUCCUAUGGUCAUCCUAAGGUCAUCAUAUGGUCAUCCUAAGGUCAUCCUAAGGUCAUCAUAUGGUCAUCUUAAGGUCAUCAUAUGGUCAUUAUAAGAUCAUCCUAAGGUCAUCCUAUGGUCAUCUUAAGGUCAUCCUAUGGUCAUCUUAAGGUCAUCCUAAGGUCAUCCUAUGGUCAUCUUAAGGUCAUCAUAUUUUCAUCCUAAGGUCAUCCUAAGGUCAUCCUUAGGUCAUCCUAUGGUCAUCCUAAGAUCAUCCUAUGGUCAUCCUAUGGUCAUCCUAAGGUCAUCAUAUGGUCAUCCUAAGGUCAUCAUAUGGUCAUCCUAAGGUCAUCCUAUGGUCAUCCUAUGGUCAUCCUAAGGUCAUCCUAAGAUCAUCCUAUGGUCAUCCUAAGAUCAUCCUAUGGUCAUCCUAAGGUCAUCCUAAGGUCAUCCUAUGGUCAUCCUAUGGUCAUCCUAAGAUCAUCCUAUGGUCAUCCUAAGGUCAUCCUAUGGUCAUCUUAAGGUCAUCCUAUGGUCAUCCUAAGAUCAUCCUAUGGUCAUCCUAUGGUCAUCCUAAGGUCAUCAUAUGGUCAUCCUAAGGUCAUCCUAAGGUCAUCCUAUGGUCAUCUUAAGGUCAUCAUAUGGUCAUUAUAAGGUCAUCCUAAGUAAGAGGAACUACUUCAACGACAACGGAGUGAAACUAAUUUGGAAAGUAGUUCGUUGCUGAAUUUUCUGUUAUUUUACGUUAAUAUCAGAAAAUGACAUAUAUCAUAUUGAAUCAUUGAAAAUGUAAUAGAUAAGUAAAUCAGACCCGUAAACACUUAUAUACAAACAGAUAGAUACUUUACAUUCAAAGUCAAACGAUCUGUUAAUAAACAAGGAAAUGAAGCCUUGUUCUAAAUGAUGAUAAUUGAUGGAAACACUUGUGGUGUUAUAUCCCAUAUAGUAAUCAGUAGUUGUCUUCUUCUUCUUCUUCUUCUUCCUCUUCUUCUUCUUCUUCUUCUUCUUCUUCUUCUUCUUCUCUUCUUCUUCUUCUUCUUCUUCUUCUUCUUCAGUGUAAACUGAAAGGAAAACUAAUAUUUUGCAUGCCAGAUUAAGAUGUAGAUCGAGUACUCUAAAUGACGACUUAUUUCAUGCUAAUUUGAUUGAUUUCCAACUUUGUCAAUGUGGACACUAUAUAGAAAAUGCUUACCAUUUCUUCUUUAAUUGUAACAAGUAGUCAGAGAGUAAAAUGGUAUCGCGAGUUAAAUGAGUUCAUCCCACUAGACCUGCAACUUACAUUACACGGAAGUCCUGAUUUAACAAA
Long non-coding RNA from Pecten maximus, 4792 nucleotides. RefSeq lists it as uncharacterized. NCBI's taxonomy places the organism in Eukaryota, Metazoa, Mollusca, Bivalvia, Pectinida, Pectinidae. The transcript is spliced from 2 exons. The record is from RefSeq and is a predicted model, not a curated record.